UGGAGAGUUUGAUCCUGGCUCAGAGUGAACGCUGGCGGCGUGCUUAACACAUGCAAGUCGAACGAUGAUUAAGGGCUUGCUCUUAUGAUUAGUGGCGCACGGGUGAGUAAUGUAUAGCUAACGUGCCCCAUAGAGGGGGAUAACAGUUGGAAACGACUGCUAAUACCCCAUACUCCUUCUUCCUAUAAGGGAAGUCGGGAAAGUUUUUUCGCUAUGGGAUCGGGCUAUAUGAUAUCAGCUUGUUGGUGAGGUAACGGCUCACCAAGGCUAUGACAUCUAACUGGUCUGAGAGGAUGAUCAGUCACACUGGAACUGAGACACGGUCCAGACUCCUACGGGAGGCAGCAGUGGGGAAUAUUACACAAUGGAGGAAACUCUGAUGUAGCAACGCCGCGUGGAGGAUGACACAUUUCGGUGCGUAAACUCCUUUUAUACAGGAAGAUAAUGACGGUACUGUAUGAAUAAGCUCCGGCUAACUCC
RNAcentral lists this ribosomal RNA (480 nucleotides) under uncultured Campylobacterota bacterium. Its description in RNAcentral is "bacterial SSU rRNA". It matches the Rfam family "Bacterial small subunit ribosomal RNA", at positions 1 to 504 of the family's 1533-position model. Lineage: Bacteria; Pseudomonadati; Campylobacterota. The record is from RNAcentral.